AGGGGAAAUAAGUCCCCCUCAGUGA
This 25-nucleotide transfer RNA is filed under the name Urosaurus nigricauda. RNAcentral describes it as "partial tRNA-Lys". Lineage: Eukaryota; Metazoa; Chordata; Lepidosauria; Squamata; Phrynosomatidae. The record is from RNAcentral.